AGAGUUUGAUCAUGGCUCAGGAUGAACGUUGGCGGUGUGCCUAAUACAUGCAAGUCGAACGGAGUUAAUAGCAAUAUUGACUUAGUGGCGAACGGGUGAGUAACGCGUUGGUGAUCUGCCUCGAAGUGUGGAAUAACGUUCCGAAAGGAUCGCUAAUACCGCAUGUGCUCUCGAUUUUUAGAAAGUUGAGAGUAAAGGAUUUAUUCGCUUCGAGAGGAGCCUGCGUCCCAUCAGCUGGUUGGUAGGGUAACGGCCUACCAAGGCUAUGACGGGUAGGGGACCUGAGAGGGUGGCCCCCCACAAUGGAACUGAAACACGGUCCAUACACCUACGGGUGGCAGCAGUAGGGAAUAUUAGAAAUGGACGAAAGUCUGAUCUAGCAACACCGCGUGUGCGAAGAAGGCCUUCGGGUCGUAAAGCACUUUUUGGAAGGAAUAGGAAGGAAUGUACUUCCAGAAUAAGUCUCGGCUAACUACGUGCCAGCAGCCGCGGUAACACGUAGGAGGCAAACGUUAUCCGGAUUUACUGGGCGUAAAGCGCGUGUAGGUGGUACUGUAAGUAGGGCGUGAAAGCUCCCGGCUCAACUGGGAGAGGCCGUUCUAAACUGCAGAACUAGAGGAUGGUAGAGGGAGGUGGAAUUCCAGGUGUAGCGGUGGAAUGCGCAGAUAUCUGGAGGAACACCAGUGGCGAAGGCGGCCUCCUGGACCAUUCCUGACACUCAGACGCGAAAGCUAGGGUAGCAAACGGGAUUAGAGACCCCGGUAGUCCUAGCCCUAAACGAUGUAGACUAGGCGUCGGUGGUUUAAUCACCAUCGGUGUCCAAGCUAACGCGAUAAGUCUACCGCCUGGGGACUACGGCCGCAAGGUUAAAACUCAAAUGAAUUGACGG
This 889-nucleotide ribosomal RNA is filed under the name uncultured Anaerolineaceae bacterium. RNAcentral's name for it is "bacterial SSU rRNA". It matches the Rfam family "Bacterial small subunit ribosomal RNA", at positions 8 to 916 of the family's 1533-position model. Lineage: Bacteria; Bacillati; Chloroflexota; Anaerolineae; Anaerolineales; Anaerolineaceae. The record is from RNAcentral. RNAcentral also lists the same sequence under 1 other name.